AACCAUAGAAACCUGCGGAGUACCUGCGGAAGGAUCAUUACCGAGUUUACAACUCCCAAACCCCUGUGAACAUACCACUUGUUGCCUCGGCGGAUCAGCCCGCUCCCGGUAAAACGGGACGGCCCGCCAGAGGACCCCUAAACUCUGUUUCUAUAUGUAACUUCUGAGUAAAACCAUAAAUAAAUCAAAACUUUCAGCAACGGAUCU
RNAcentral lists this unclassified non-coding RNA (207 nucleotides) under soil metagenome. RNAcentral describes it as "partial contains 5.8S ribosomal RNA, internal transcribed spacer 2, and large subunit ribosomal RNA". The record is from RNAcentral.